Molecule: ribosomal RNA, 720 nt
Filed under: uncultured archaeon
Lineage: Archaea
Description: bacterial SSU rRNA
Rfam family: Archaeal small subunit ribosomal RNA
Source: RNAcentral
UGCUAGUCGUACGGGCUCAGACCCGUGGCAGAUAGCUCAGUAACACGUGGUCAAACUGCCCUACAGAUCGUGAUAACCUCGGGAAACUGAGGCUAAUCGCGAAUAUAGCUCUCAGGUUGGACGAGCAGAGAGCUAGAAACGCUCCGGCGCUGUAGGAUGUGACUGCGGCCGAUUAGGUAGACGGUGGGGUAAUGGCCCACCGUGCCGAUAAUCGGUACGGGUUGUGAGAGCAAGAACCCGGAGACGGUAUCUGAGACAAGAUACCGGGCCCUACGGGGCGCAGCAGGCGCGAAACCUUUACACUGCACGACAGUGCGAUAGGGGGACUCCGAGUGCGAGGGCAUAUAGUCCUCGCUUUUCUGUACCGUAAGGUGGUACAGGAACAAGUGCUGGGCAAGACCGGUGCCAGCCGCCGCGGUAAUACCGGCAGCACGAGUGAUGGCCGCUUUUAUUGGGCCUAAAGCGUUCGUAGCCGGCCACUCAAGUCCGUCGGGAAAUCCAGUGGCUUAACCACUGGACGUCCGGCGGAAACUGACUGGCUUGGGGCCGGAAGAUCCAAGGGGUACGUCCGGGGUAGGAGUGAAAUCCCGUAAUCCUGGACGGACCACCGAUGGCGAAAGCACCUUGGAAAGACGGACCCGACGGUGAGGGACGAAAGCUAGGGUCUCGAACCGGAUUAGAUACCCGGGUAGUCCUAGCCGUAAACGAUGCUCGCUAGGU